UCGUCUCUUGCCUCGCUCGGUCUGCCGCUUUCACUCGGCUAAUCUUGAGCUGGAUGCAACCCGUCACUUUCGAGUACGGGAUGUAUGAGACAAGAAGAAGUGUGGAAACAUACUUCGACGCUUUUUGAGUACGGUUUUAUCUGCAUUGCACCACGGAUAUGCACCGUAAUUUAUCAGUCGGAACAUUC
RNAcentral lists this small nucleolar RNA (188 nucleotides) under Penicillium steckii. The record is from RNAcentral. Lineage: Eukaryota; Fungi; Ascomycota; Eurotiomycetes; Eurotiales; Aspergillaceae.